RNAcentral lists this ribosomal RNA (440 nucleotides) under uncultured bacterium. Its description in RNAcentral is "partial 16S ribosomal RNA". It matches the Rfam family "Bacterial small subunit ribosomal RNA", at positions 338 to 795 of the family's 1533-position model. The record is from RNAcentral.
CCUACGGGGGGCAGCAGUGGGGAAUAUUGCACAAUGGGGGAAACCCUGAUGCAGCGACGCCACGUGAGUGAAGAAGUAUUUCGGUACGUAAAGCUCUAUCAGCAGGGAAGAAAAUGACGGUACCUGACUAAGAAGCCCCGGCUAACUACGUGCCAGCAGCCGCGGUAAUACGUAGGGGGCAAGCGUUAUCCGGAUUUACUGGGUGUAAAGGGAGCGUAGACGGCAGCGAAAGUCUGGAGUGAAAUCCCAUGGCUUAACCAUGGAACUGCUUUGGAAACUGUGCAGCUAGAGUGCAGGAGAGGUAAGCGGAAUUCCGAGUGUAGCGGUGAAAUGCGUAGAUAUUAGGAGGAACACCAGUGGCGAAGGCGGCUUACUGGACUGUAACUGACGUUGAGGCUCGAAAGCGUGGGGAGCAAACAGGAUUAGAUACCCUGGUAGUC